This is a long non-coding RNA of Ixodes scapularis (black-legged tick), 3098 nucleotides long. RefSeq lists it as uncharacterized. Lineage: Eukaryota; Metazoa; Arthropoda; Arachnida; Ixodida; Ixodidae. The transcript has 12 exons. The record is from RefSeq and is a predicted model, not a curated record.
AGGAUGCUCCAAGGGAAACAGCACCAGGAUUCGGGCACGCAUCUCCAGGGGAUAUGGAUCUAACAACCCAUGAACCAAACCAACUUUCUGAUCCAACAGCCUGUUCCACAUCAUGUGAUUCAGUCCAGCCUCCAACUGACCUCGACGAUAAAAGGUCGUGGGUUGAUUGUUGAGAGCUCAGUGACAAAAGUGCGACUGCCUCACGACAAACGUACUGCUCCUCAUCAUUGCUAAAGUCGGCUCAGCUGGAGCUCAGUUUUCCCGACAACAAAUGUGGGCUAGCCGAUCAUCCAGUGCCAGUGGACGCCUCAAGUUUGGGUGGCUACCCAGACUGCUCCUCAGUGCAUGAGUCACCGCAGACAGAGUACCACCUCCAGGGAACAUCAGAGCAAGCACCAUCCCCAAAUAGGGCAAACUUUGGGUGCCAAACAAACAUAUGGGUUGGCCGAAACAAGGGAACGCAAACAGUCUUUUGGGUCAGGAGCACCUCUACACAGACAAAAGUGGCGUGCCAAGAUAUGGAGACGCAGACAGAUGACGCAUCGGAUGAUGGAUGUCGCCCACCACUGCCAGCUCCGUCUACACAGCGCACCAUAGUCAAUAAUUUACAGCACGGAUGACUGUGAGUCAGGUUCCGAAAGCAGGGAUGAUACUUGCAGAGAUGAUCUUGAUCCUUUGUAUGUCAUGGAGGAAGAGGACGGUAGCGACAGCAGCUCUGAAGACACUUCCCAUCAGCAAGAGCAUGAGGGAACUGGAGACCAUGCAGAGAAAAAGUAUGUCGUCUUCCACCACUGUUUAAUGACGCUUCUGGAACGGUGUGGACAGUGCGGUUCUAGAGACUGCAAAGUAGUCAUGAACUAUGCGGGGACCCUCGUGACGGCACACAUUACGUGCCCCAAGAAGCACAAGGAGACAUGGCGCAGCCAACCCCUUGUUGAAGGGAAGGCAUUAUUUAACAUCCUUUUGUGCUCAGCCAUUUUGUUUUCUGGUAGUUUCUCCACUAAGGUGUUGCGGCUGCUCUCGUUGAUAGGAGUACAGACGCUGCAGAAGUCGAUGCUCUUCGACUUCCAAAGGCUCUACUUGUGGCCAGCAGUUCAUGAGGUUUGUGCUUGCAAAGUAAAAGAAAAGCUUUUAUUGAAGGGGUUACUUUUUUAUUAGGUCUGGAAAUCGGAGCAGGACCUCAUGAUCCAGGCAACACAAGGGGAAAAGCUGUGUCUCGCCGGGGACAGCAGAGUGGACUCCCCUGGACAUUCGGCUGACUUCGGCACAUACACUCUCAUGGACGUUACCCACAAUUGGGUCUUCCACAUCGAGCUCGUCAAGUCAACAGAGGUCUCCUGAAGCAAUCGAAUGGAGAAGGAAGGGCUGGUCAGGGCGCUCAAAUCGCUCCAAGAACAAGGAGUCGAGGUUGGCACAAUCGUAACUGACCGCCACCGUGAGGUAAAUGCCUACCUGCGGAUCAACCACCCUGACGUGCAGCACCGCUUUGAUGCUUGGCACUUUGAAAAGGGUAUCAAAAAGAAGAUUGAUGCAGUUUCGAGGACAAAGGCACAUGAGGUGCUGCGCAAGUGGAAAAGCACCAUCAUCCGCCACGUUUACUGCUGUGCCCGUACCAGCGACGGUGAUGGCGACCUUGUCCUUGCCAAGUGGACGUCCAUCAUGCGGCACGUAAUAGACGUCCCCAUCCACAGAGAUCCUCUGCAUCCAGCCUGUGCGCAUGGCGACAUCGGAAGCCGGAAAUGGCUGGAGGAAGGCCAGCCUAGUAGAGGUACCUGCUGCUCCUAUCUGUACCUAAAAAUUCCUUAUUUUUGUACAGGCACAGAAACCUUCAGGCGACUGGAGUCUGUACUCAUGCCCGCCCUCCUGCUCAGAGACAUCCCCAGGAUCUCACCUAAGGAGCAGACAUACGCACUAGAAUCCUUCCAUGGUAUCCUGGUCCAUUUCGCACCAAGGUCGAGAAAAUUCAAGUAUGAGGGAAUGCUGGCACGGACCUAGAUAGUGGCCAUCCACUACAACUUCAAUGCAGAGAGGGCCAUAAAGCUGACAGCGGAUGGCGAGGAACAGUAUGCCCAGCGUUGGUCGAAGGCAGAGAAGCAGUGGAGGUUGAUCGUCCUGAAAGAGGCAGCAGCAUACGGCUAUGUCAGCAAAGCUAAUUGAUGCUGUCCUGGCCUGCGUAGCACGCUGGCCUACCUACAAGUUGGCGGCACAAGCACAAGCUCCGCAACGCGUCGUGCAUGCGACCCUCGCAGACAGGUGUGGACCACGACCAAGCAAGGAAGAGGCAGUGAAACGCCAUCGUUCAAGGUUUUCCGUGUGAUUAUUUCGUGUCACGAGCUUUCCCUCAUGUUGUAUUCACGUAGGCCUGGUGUCUAUUCCUUCUGCGUCAAUUCUGUGCCGAGGAACUUGGCUUUGCGAACUGCGAACUGACAUUUUUCAUUCUUUAGACAAAAGCCUGCGUCUUUGAGUUCGGACAGUACUUGGUCCAGACCUGCAGCAUGUUGUUUAGAACUAUCUCCACUCACGAUGAUAUCGUCAAAGUAGAUACUUAUGCCCUGAAUGUCAGCCAAGGUUGUUUCCAUUGUACGCUGCAAAGUUGCGGGUGCCGCUGAUAUCUCGAAAGGCAGGUAUUUCACCUUGUACAAGCCCUUUAUGGUGUUGAUAGUCAGGACAGCUGUUGUGGCUUCAGACUAUUUCAGUUGUUGGUAGGCUUGGCAGAGGUCCAACACGUCGAGAAAACGGUGCCCCCUCUCAGAUUCGCCACAACUUCAGUAGUUGGUAGUGGGUAGGCUGCCUUCUCUGAAGCGGAGUUGAAAAGUCUUUUAGCAGUAUUUCUACACAGAAUAUAACAUUUUGUUCAAAGUUUUUAAAUAGACAUCUCUCGAUUUUGUCAACUAUGCAUAAAAUGGGCAUAAAAAUGAGCUGAUUAUGCCCUGAAUGGAUGUUUGCAAUUUGCAGUCGGGUAAUAUUUUUUUUUUGCUUUGUAAAUGGCAUUGAUUGACUCAUACAUGCAUUGACAAGACACUUCUGUGGCACUGAUUAUAGCUUCUGCUAUAAAUAUUUAUGUACUCGAACUGAAAUAAACGUGAGCAAUAAACUUC